CACCAAAACUUCAAGCACAAUAGAAACCACUGCUGCUACUCCUACUGCUGUAGGCUUGUUUUGGUGUUACUAAUACUACGGAAACAACAAAUACACCAACAUUUACAAAACGUCAUUCACCUGUGAAGGUAUUUUAGCCCAACGAACAGAUUUGUAACUAAGUGUUUUCAUAUGGAGACUGCUACCAUUACCAACUUAAAAAGUUAAUCAGCCGGUGAAUAUUUCCAGGUAAAACUUAAUCUGCAUAGAUAGAGAGAGAGAGAGAGAGAGAGAGAGAGAGAGAGAGAGAAAGCGCAAGAAAAACUUCUCAGAAUAACAUUUUCGCCACAAAAUUUUCGAAGGCCGGAUCAUAUCACUUGCGAAUGCUAUUUUCUAAGCGUAGCGUCUCUCAGAAGUAUAUAGACAGUUAUAUAAGCGUUUGUUAAAACAAAGCUUUCUCUGCCGCUAAAUGUUUGUAGCAGAAACAUUUGUGAUUGAUGCUGCGGUUUGUACCAGUGUGAAAAUACAUUUAACUAAGAAAAUAUGCAAAAUCGAAAUAAACAUCGACAUGUUUUUUCAAAGAAAUAAUUGAUCAGAAAACAAGCAAGUGAUAUUUGGGAGGAAACCAAAAAAUAAGAAGCUAGAAAUUUCGAAUUCAAAUUCAGGUUGCUUUUGCUUUUUAUCUGCUAGCAGAAACCACCGCAUAGCAAAUGGAUGUAUAUAUGAGAGUAACGAAAGAACAGUUAUCAGAUACUUCAAGUUACCGAUGUCUGAAGGUGAAACACGCUAAAAUAUUCAACGGUACAUUUUGGAUUUCUCUAAAAGAUCAUGUGCGUUUGAACAGAAAAAUCACGAGGUAGAAAGAUACACCAAGAAACAAGCGAGUAAGAAGUUAAAAACAAAACAACAACCACAACAACAGAAAUAACCUUACUAACAACAAAAUAACUGUAGUUCAGUAUUUAUCAGAGAAAAGUUGAUAAUCUUAAGCGUUUGUUUGAAAUUAUACAUAAGAUGGAUGCGGAGAAUAAUGAAAUACCAUUCGAUGGUUGGUGGCUACCACCAAGCGUAACCACAAAAAUGAAUGUAGAAACAAUAGAAUUCUCUUUUGCCCUUGGAGGAUUUUUAUUGCUAAUCAUUUUAGUACUUUUAUGUAAAUGUUUCAUGUUCCAUCGUCACAGGAAACAAUCAUCUUCGCCACCUGCUGAACCUAAUCACGAUAUCAACUCAGUUCCUGUAGUUAUACCAUCAUUCAGUAUUUCCAUUAUAUCGAAACCGACUUUGGAGACAGUAGAAAAUGGGGAAAAGUACUACUUGGCAGCAGCUUGAAAAAACAAUGCUUUACUGAAAGAGGAAAACGAAACAAAUUUAAACAAUAGCACUACGGGUCAAUCAGCAAUAAACAGCUGCCAAAUUUACUUUUGCUGACCAUGGUGCCACAAUUCAAAAGGAAAUGAGAGAAUACGAAUUGACACUGCAAAAGCCAAAUUUUUAAACUUUAUAUAUAAGUUAUGAAAAGACUAAUUUUACGGGUUUACAAUAUUCUUAGACUUAACCUUAACUAACACUCUAAUUCUAGUUCUAAUGUUAACCCAUAUUCAUAAAGACCUCAUUGUGGAAGGCAUUCAUCUAGCGGUCAAUACCAAAGAGAGGGCUGACUUCAACGGGUGAUCGACUGUUGCAUACCAAAUAUAACACUCAAACCUAAUCGGUUAUAGCUAAAAUGCCAAAACUGUUCAAAAUAUUUGAGGUUCAUUACUUGGUCAGCUCCGCGUUGUUUAAUCCAGGCCUGCGGAGGAACCUGACUUUAGUAUAUUUAGGAAACUGAAAACACUUGUUGAAUGUACAAGGGUGUCAGGUGACUAAGUGAAAAUUGUAAAUUGUCGGUAUCUUCUCACCGACAUCAUAGUAUGUCAAUGGUUUUCUGAAGAUACCGCAAUAUAAAAUGGUUUAGUGCAGUAAGCACUACAGAACUGUAAAAGUCGAUGAGCAUCUAAUUAACUUGUGCUGUGUUCAAAGCCUCUCAUGAGGGUUAAGGUUUUAUUGGUUCCAUCUCGAAAUCAGUCAGAUUUCAUCAAGAACAUUCAUGCAACUUAAACGUUCAUCUGACAAAUGAUGCGUUAAAUCACCUGAUUACUCUAUAUUGUAACAUUCAAUUUACCAAAUAAAUAUUAAAAUUCUUAAUAUUAAAUAAAUUCAUGUCAUAUAAUGAAAAGUGGAUUCUAACAUUACAGGUAGAGCCUUCCUUUGGAAAAGUGUUAAAUAGUUGUACAUUUAAAUGCACCGUAUGUGCUUCAUUUCCUAAACCCACCCCACGAGAAAGAACCCUGUCUGUGAUGUAAGAAUAUAAUUUUAUACACGUUCCGUAAUUUUUUUUAUUUCUCAGGAGAAGGCCUCUUCCAAAAAUGUUACAAUUCUCUUCUCUUGAUUGUAUGCAGAACUCAUUAAAUGACAUUUAAUAUAAAUAUUACGAAUUUGAUUGACUGUUUUGCUGACACCAACCCUGAAUACUUUCUUUGUAUUAUAGUUUUAUACAUAUAUCUAUAUAUAUAUAUUUUUACAAGAAAAUUAUAUAACUCAGAUAUUGUCCAGUUUCUAUAUUGUCUUAUUGUUUUACUUGUCUGAGUAUCGAUGCUGAUGUUUCACAAAAUAUUGAAGGUAGGAUAUCCAAAUAUUUUACCGAUAAUUACUAAGCAACAUAUCAAAAAAUAAAACCAAAAGGAAUUUGUGUUUUUCGAAACUUGUAAAUUUGUUAUAUUAUUUAAAUGUUUACUGAGCGAGCUACGAAUUGUAGGAUAACAAUAACAUCGUGUACAGAGAAAACGUAAUGGAAGUAGAUUUACGUGUAUCGAAACCAUAGAUUCUGGUAUGAGUAGCUUUGAGUUAAUAGU
This 2870-nucleotide long non-coding RNA is filed under the name Octopus sinensis (East Asian common octopus). RNAcentral's name for it is "uncharacterized LOC115211007, transcript variant X1". Lineage: Eukaryota; Metazoa; Mollusca; Cephalopoda; Octopoda; Octopodidae. The record is from RNAcentral.